GUCUACGGCCAUACCACCUUGAAUGCGCCCGAUCUCGUCUGAUCUCGGAAGCUAAGCAGGGUUGGGCCUGGUUAGUACUUGGAUGGGAGACACAAAUAUGAGUGUGCUGUUUUAGUACAUU
This 121-nucleotide ribosomal RNA is filed under the name Neogale vison (American mink). The record is from RNAcentral. Lineage: Eukaryota; Metazoa; Chordata; Mammalia; Carnivora; Mustelidae.